Molecule: ribosomal RNA, 406 nt
Filed under: bacterium
Lineage: Bacteria
Description: partial 16S ribosomal RNA
Rfam family: Bacterial small subunit ribosomal RNA
Source: RNAcentral
CAAGGAAUUUUCCGCAAUGGGCGAAAGCCUGACGGAGCAACGCCGCGUGCAGGAUGACGCAUUUCGGUGUGUAAACUGCUGUUCGGGGGGACGAAGCACUGACGGUACCCCCGGAGGAAGGCCCGGCUAACUACGUGCCAGCAGCCGCGGUAAUACGUAGGGGCCAAGCGUGGUCCGGAGUUACUGGGCGUAAAGCGUGCGCAGGCGGCUCGUUGCGCCCGACGUGAAAGCCCCCGGCUCAACCGGGGAGGGUCGUCGGGGACGGGCGAGCUUGAGGGUGUCAGGGGCUGGUGGAACUCCCGGUGUAGUGGUGAAAUGCGUAGAGAUCGGGAAGAACACCCGUGGCGAAGGCGGCCAGCUGGGACACACCUGACGCUGAGGCACGAAGGCGUGGGGAGCGAACGGG